This 67-nucleotide transfer RNA is filed under the name Loxodonta africana (African savanna elephant). It matches the Rfam family "tRNA". From Rfam's summary of the family: Transfer RNA (tRNA) molecules are approximately 80 nucleotides in length. Their secondary structure includes four short double-helical elements and three loops (D, anti-codon, and T loops). Further hydrogen bonds mediate the characteristic L-shaped molecular structure. tRNAs have two regions of fundamental functional importance: the anti-codon, which is responsible for specific mRNA codon recognition, and the 3' end, to which the tRNAs corresponding amino acid is attached (by aminoacyl-tRNA synthetases). tRNAs cope with the degeneracy of the genetic code in two manners: having more than one tRNA (with a specific anti-codon) for a particular amino acid; and 'wobble' base-pairing, i.e. permitting non-standard base-pairing at the 3rd anti-codon position. The record is from Rfam by way of RNAcentral. Lineage: Eukaryota; Metazoa; Chordata; Mammalia; Proboscidea; Elephantidae.
GGUGGCUCAAUGGUUAAAUGUUCAGCUGAUAACUGGAAGGUCGGUGGUUCAAACCCACCAGCCACUC